Molecule: ribosomal RNA, 187 nt
Filed under: Photobacterium iliopiscarium
Lineage: Bacteria; Pseudomonadati; Pseudomonadota; Gammaproteobacteria; Vibrionales; Vibrionaceae
Description: partial 23S ribosomal RNA
Rfam family: Bacterial large subunit ribosomal RNA
Source: RNAcentral
CGAUAACCGCUGAAAGCAUCUAAGCGGGAAGCGAGCCUCAAGAUGAGUCAUCCCUAGACCUUUAAGGUCUCUAAAGGGUUGUUGAAGACUACAACGUUGAUAGGUCAGGUGUGUAAGUGCUGCGAGGCAUUGAGCUAACUGAUACUAAUUGCCCGUGAGGCUUAACCAUACAACACCCAAGGGGUUU